Molecule: ribosomal RNA, 308 nt
Filed under: uncultured bacterium
Lineage: Bacteria
Description: bacterial SSU rRNA
Rfam family: Bacterial small subunit ribosomal RNA
Source: RNAcentral
AUUGAACGCUGGCGGCAUGCUUUACACAUGCAAGUCGAACGGCAGCACGGGUGCUUGCACCUGGUGGCGAGUGGCGGACGGGUGAGUAAUGCAUCGGAACGUGUCCUGAAGUGGGGAUAACGCAUCGAAAGAUGUGCUAAUACCGCAUAUUCUCUGAGGAGAAAAGUAGGGGAUCGAAAGACCUUAUGCUUUUGGAGCGGCCGAUGUCUGAUUAGCUAGUUGGUAAGGUAAUGGCUUACCAAGGCAACGAUCAGUAGUUGGUCUGGAGAGGACGGCCAGCCACACUGGGACUGAGACACGGCCCAGAC